GACGAACGCUGGCGGCGUGCCUAAUACAUGCGAGUCGAACGCUUCUUUCCUCCCGAGUGCUUGCACUCAAUUGGAAAGAGGAGUGGCGGACGGGUGAGUAACACGUGGGUAACCUACCCAUCAGAGGGGGAUAACACUUGGAAACAGGUGCUAAUACCGCAUAACAGUUUAUGCCGCAUGGCAUAAGAGUGAAAGGCGCUUUCGGGUGUCGCUGAUGGAUGGACCCGCGGUGCAUUAGCUAGUUGGUGAGGUAACGGCUCACCAAGGCCACGAUGCAUAGCCGACCUGAGAGGGUGAUCGGCCACACUGGGACUGAGACACGGCCCAGACUCCUACGGGAGGCAGCAGUAGGGAAUCUUCGGCAAUGGACGAAAGUCUGACCGAGCAACGCCGCGUGAGUGAAGAAGGUUUUCGGAUCGUAAAACUCUGUUGUUAGAGAAGAACAAGGACGUUAGUAACUGAACGUCCCCUGACGGUAUCUAACCAGAAAGCCACGGCUAACUACGUG
RNAcentral lists this ribosomal RNA (508 nucleotides) under uncultured bacterium. RNAcentral's name for it is "partial 16S ribosomal RNA". It matches the Rfam family "Bacterial small subunit ribosomal RNA", at positions 28 to 507 of the family's 1533-position model. The record is from RNAcentral.